CCUACGGGAUGCAGCAGUGGGGAAUAUUGCGCAAUGGGCGAAAGCCUGACGCAGCGACGCCGCGUGAGGGAUGAAGGUCUUCGGAUCGUAAACCUCUGUCAGCAGGGAAGAACGGUCACUUUUCUAAUCAUCCGUGAAUUGACGGUCCCUGCAAAGGCAGCACCGGCUAACUCCGUACCAGCAGCCGCGGUAAUACGGAGGGUGCGAGCGUUAAUCGGAAUUACUGGGUGUAAGGAGCUCGUAGGCAGUAUGUCAAGUCAAGGGUGGAAUCCCCGCGCUCAAUGUGGGAACGGCCUUUGAAAGAGGCAAACUGGAGUGUGUGAGAGGAUAGUGAAAGUACAGGUGGAGGAAUGAAAUAAGUAGAUA
This 366-nucleotide ribosomal RNA is filed under the name uncultured bacterium. RNAcentral's name for it is "partial 16S ribosomal RNA". It matches the Rfam family "Bacterial small subunit ribosomal RNA", at positions 338 to 696 of the family's 1533-position model. The record is from RNAcentral.